RNAcentral lists this non-coding RNA (933 nucleotides) under Pongo abelii (Sumatran orangutan). The record is from RNAcentral. Lineage: Eukaryota; Metazoa; Chordata; Mammalia; Primates; Hominidae.
GGCCACAUCUGCCAGAGCCUGGAGUCUGCGAAGGCCGGGACCCGGUUCCCCGGCCCGCCGUGGGGAGUGUGCAAACCCGAGAGAACUGGUCGCUGAAACCUCUACAACUUAGUUGACCGUAACUGCCAGAGCCCUGCCCUGAAUUCCUGUCCUUACUCCCUCUUUCAGAUUGCGUACCCACUGCAGAGGGCUGAAGACGGGGUAGCCACGAGGUUGCAAAUUCGUGAAGAAUCAGCAGCAUGUUUGGCAGCUGAGUAUUGGAGCCAGGAGCCUGCCAUGAGGUUAUAUUCCCAGAGGAUGUCAGUCCCAAGGACCAGUAGCUGCCAUCAGUUUGGAUUCUGAAAACUAACCGGCAUCAACAUUGGGUGUAGAAACAUGCUUGCCUUGUGUAUCAGAGGACAUGCUCAGCAGAUCCAAGAGAUAUAUUUGGCAACUUUUUCUAGAAAAGGCACAUUAGGUAUCAUUCAUUACAUUCUUGAGUUUUUUUGGGGUUUUUUUUUUUUUUGAGACAGUCUUGCUGUGUUGCCCAGGCUGGAGUGUGGUGGCACAAUCACAGCUCAUUGCAGCCUCAAUCACCCAGGCCUAAGCAAUCCUCCCACCUUGUAGCUGGGACUACAGCUCACAGCACACCUGGCUAAAAUUUUUUUUUGUUGAGACGGAUUCUCUAUGUUGCUCAGGCUGGUCUCAAGCUCCUGGGCUUAGAUGGUCCUCCUGCCUCAGCUUCCAAAGGCACAGGCCAAGUUGUAGCUUUGUCCCUUGCCAUCAUGCCCAACAAGAGGUUCUAUACCUUUUAAUGAACUGACUUUCAUAAAUUGGUUAUGUUGGUGGGCAAGUUCUUUAAGCUGGAAAUUGUAAAUUCCUCCUGAAAUGUUUUUUCAUGCAGUUACCAUGAACUAAUACUACAAUAAAGGAUGGUCUUGGGUGUCAAUUCUU